GACCACUCCAGUUGCCUAGUGGUAGAGCAUCCACUUCGGAUGCGGGAGGUCAUGGGUUUGAACCCCGACCGAGUCA
Molecule: non-coding RNA, 76 nt
Organism: Potamilus streckersoni
Lineage: Eukaryota; Metazoa; Mollusca; Bivalvia; Unionida; Unionidae
Source: the annotation of a GenBank genome assembly